RNAcentral lists this ribosomal RNA (253 nucleotides) under uncultured bacterium. Its description in RNAcentral is "partial 16S ribosomal RNA". It matches the Rfam family "Bacterial small subunit ribosomal RNA", at positions 524 to 776 of the family's 1533-position model. The record is from RNAcentral.
UACGUAGGGGGCAAGCGUUGUCCGGAUUUAUUGGGCGUAAAGAGCGUGUAGGCGGCUUGGUAGGUCCGCUGUGAAAACUCGAGGCUCAACCUCGAGAUGUCGGCGGAAACCACUUGGCUAGAGUCCGGAAGAGGAGAGUGGAAUUCCUGGUGUAGCGGUGAAAUGCGCAGAUAUCGGGAAGAACACCUAUGGCGAAGGCAGCUCUCUGGGACGGUACUGACGCUGAGACGCGAAAGCGUGGGGAGCGAACAGG